This 327-nucleotide ribosomal RNA is filed under the name uncultured eukaryote. RNAcentral describes it as "partial 18S ribosomal RNA". It matches the Rfam family "Eukaryotic small subunit ribosomal RNA", at positions 1470 to 1796 of the family's 1831-position model. The record is from RNAcentral.
CCCUUAGAUGCUCUGGGCCGCACGCGCGCUACACUGGUCGAUGCAACGAGUUUCUUUCCUUGGCCGACAGGCCUGGGCAAUCUUUGAACAUCGAUCGUGAUCGGGAUAGAUUCUUGUAAUUUUUGAUCUUAAACGAGGAAUUCCUAGUAAACGCAAGUCAUCAGCUUGCAUUGAUUACGUCCCUGCCCUUUGUACACACCGCCCGUCGCACCUACCGAUUGAAUGGUCCGGUGAAUAGUUUGGACCGUCGGCUUUCUCGGUUCGCCGGGUUAGCAGUACGGAAAAUUCAGUGAACCUUUUUGCUUAGAGGAAGGAGAAGUCGUAACA